This is a long non-coding RNA of Bufo gargarizans (Asiatic toad), 732 nucleotides long. RefSeq lists it as uncharacterized. Lineage: Eukaryota; Metazoa; Chordata; Amphibia; Anura; Bufonidae. The transcript is spliced from 3 exons. The record is from RefSeq and is a predicted model, not a curated record.
AGAACCUCUACAUCAGAGGAGACGGCACUGGAUAUAAGAGGACUUGUGUGCCUAGUAUAGCUUUGAAGAUGAUCGGAGCCUCCUGUGUCUAUACUGCUCCAAGGGACCCUGCCUCGCACCUCAAAACCUUCAGCAUCAAGGGUACUUCAACCAACAUCAGACAGGAGGACCCUGAAACCAAAGAGUGCCCCAAAGAGAAGAACAGCCACCAUUCAUACUACUAGCACUCCUCUUCUCUCUCCCGGGUUUACCGCAGACAGCCAAGAUAUUGGAAUGCAGAGUGGGGAGUCCUCCCAAUAGAUAAAGGUCCCAAGUAUGUGAUAAAAGUGCUGCCAGACAUUACAGUCGCUGCUUGGUUGAAGACUGGCCAUGAUGUGGCUCAAAUCAACAGGGAUUGUACAGAUUACAAUUGACAGAAAUGCUAAUGCUUUCCAGUUUGAUAAUGGCUGCGCAGUCUGACAAAAUACAGCCAUUUAAAAACAGCCAGGAGUUAGCACUUCCAUCAUCUGAUCUGUGCAGCCAGCUGCUUUGGCCCCAUCACAGGCACCGCUCAGCCAUAUGACAGCCGAAAUAUUUGACAACUCCCUAAAGAAGCAGUUCAAUUCAAAAUGCUGAGCUGCUAAAAAUCCAAAAUGGGAUCUACCUGCAAGCAAUAUGAUAUAGUGGGGUAAACAUUGGAUCGUGCUAGAUUUUCACUGAGUUUGUUUUGGGUAAUAAAGGCUUUACAGAUCA